This 161-nucleotide ribosomal RNA is filed under the name uncultured bacterium. Its description in RNAcentral is "partial 16S ribosomal RNA". It matches the Rfam family "Bacterial small subunit ribosomal RNA", at positions 355 to 509 of the family's 1533-position model. The record is from RNAcentral.
UAGGGAAUUUUCGCAAUGGGCGCAAGCCUGAACGAGCAAUGCCGCGUGAGUGAGGAAGGUCUUAGGACUGUAAAGCUCUGUUGCCGGGGAAAAAGGGGAAAUGCAGGGAAUGGCAUUUCAUGGAUGGUACCCGGCCAGAAAGCCACGGCUAACUACGUGCC